GAAUCCGGACAAAACUAAAGUCAAGACCUCUGUUCUGAACUUCACUGCUACUCAACGCCACCACGGACAGGAAAUCUCCUGUACUGCUGUCUACAACAAACAAAUGGCAGCACUGAGUCAUCUGUUUCCAGACUGACAGCUGAUGUUUCAUAUCCACCCCAAAGCACCACAGUGUCAGUCAGUCCCUCUGGUCCAGUACCAGAAGGCAGCACUGUGACUCUGACAUGCAGUAGUACUGCCAACCCAGCAGUGAGGGACUACACCUGGUACACAGCUCAGGGAGUCCAGGGACUGUCAUGGGGACCGGACCUGUUUUACACAUUCAAGCUUCUAAAGUCAGUGUUCCUUUUUUCUGCAAGGCAAAAAAUUAUCUUGGAGCUGGACGAUCCACCAUCAGUCAAAUAGAUGUUCAGUAUCCACCCAAACACACCACAUGUCAGUCAGUCCCUCUGUCCAGUACCAGAAGACAGCACUGUGACUCUGACAUGCAGUAGUACUGCCAACCCAGCAGUGAGGGACUACACCUGGUACACAGCU
Long non-coding RNA from Larimichthys crocea (large yellow croaker), 537 nucleotides. RefSeq lists it as uncharacterized. The transcript has 3 exons. NCBI's taxonomy places the organism in Eukaryota, Metazoa, Chordata, Actinopteri, Sciaenidae. The record is from RefSeq and is a predicted model, not a curated record.